UACGUAGGGUGCGAGCGUUGUCCGGAAUUACUGGGCGUAAAGAGCUCGUAGGUGGUUUGUCGCGUUGUUCGUGAAAACUCACAGCUUAACUGUGGGCGUGCGGGCGAUACGGGCAGACUGGAGUACUGCAGGGGAGACUGGAAUUCCUGGUGUAGCGGUGGAAUGCGCAGAUAUCAGGAGGAACACCAACGGCGAAGGCAGCACUCUGGGCCGGUACUGACGCUGAGGAGCGAAAGCGUGGGGAGCAAACAGG
RNAcentral lists this ribosomal RNA (253 nucleotides) under uncultured bacterium. RNAcentral describes it as "partial 16S ribosomal RNA". It matches the Rfam family "Bacterial small subunit ribosomal RNA", at positions 524 to 776 of the family's 1533-position model. The record is from RNAcentral.